This 468-nucleotide ribosomal RNA is filed under the name uncultured bacterium. RNAcentral describes it as "partial 16S ribosomal RNA". It matches the Rfam family "Bacterial small subunit ribosomal RNA", at positions 28 to 507 of the family's 1533-position model. The record is from RNAcentral.
GACGAACGCUGGCGGCGUGCUUAACACAUGCAAGUCGAACGGAAAGGCCCUGCUUUUUUGGUGUGCUCGAGUGGCGAACGGGUGAGUAACACGUGAGUAACCUGCCCUUGACUUUGGGAUAACUUCAGGAAACUGGGGCUAAUACCGGAUAGGAGCUCCUGCUGCAUUGUGGGGGUUGGAAAGUUUCGGCGGUUGGGGAUGGACUCGCGGCUUAUCAGCUUGUUGGUGGGGUAGUGGCUUACCAAGGCUUUGACGGGUAGCCGGCCUGAGAGGGUGACCGGCCACAUUGGGACUGAGAUACGGACCAGACGCCUACGGGAGGCAGCAGUGGGGAAUAUUGCACAAUGGGCGGAAGCCUGAGGCAGAAACGCCGCGUGCGGGAUGACGGCCUUCGGGUUGUAAAACGCUUUCGCCUGUGACGAAGCGUGAGUGACGGUAAUGGGUAAAGAAGCACCGGCUAACUACGUG